AUCAAGGUUUACCAAUAAAGAAACACCAUAAAUCAGAUUGUUUCCCAGAGUUCACUGGCGGCUGAAGUAGUUGCUAGGCUCAGGCAAUCUUUAAGAUGAAUCAUGGAGGCAGUCGAGAGUUGUGUUUGCCGCUGUCAAGAAAACAGCCUAAUAUAAUUGCAAGGGUGACUUGUAGUUCAGGACCGGUGUUUUCUUGUGCUGUUGUUUCUUGCUUAUGCCUGGAAACCAAUGAAAUAGACUGAGGGAUUUGAUAGGGCAAAUGUAAUAAGGAAACGAUGGCAACCAUUAUGCCUGUACUAUCCUUGAAUCCACCCCUGCCCUUGCAUUUCCUGAUUCAAUAGUGAAAUAGAUGACAUUUUAGCCGUUGAGAGUGUCAAAUAUAUGGCAGUCAAAUCAAUAGGAAGUCAACAGGUGAGUUUCGGACCAUUCCGAUUUGAUACAGGUGAAGUAUGUCC
This is a long non-coding RNA of Anneissia japonica, 455 nucleotides long. RefSeq lists it as uncharacterized. The record is from RefSeq and is a predicted model, not a curated record. Lineage: Eukaryota; Metazoa; Echinodermata; Crinoidea; Comatulida; Comatulidae. The transcript has 3 exons.